This is a long non-coding RNA of Nannospalax galili (Upper Galilee mountains blind mole rat), 157 nucleotides long. RefSeq lists it as uncharacterized. The record is from RefSeq and is a predicted model, not a curated record. Lineage: Eukaryota; Metazoa; Chordata; Mammalia; Rodentia; Spalacidae. The transcript has 3 exons.
AAAAAAGAAAGAGAACUGGCCCCUGCACAUAUCUAUUGUGAUUGACUGGUCAGGAAGCUGUCAAGUGUGCCGGCUUUGCAGCCUGCAUUCCCCAGGCUUCAACAUCUCCAGGUCUCCCAGGAGGUAGAGCCAAGGAACUGUUGAAAACUGUAGUGUG